Molecule: transfer RNA, 62 nt
Filed under: Anacestra spiniger
Lineage: Eukaryota; Metazoa; Arthropoda; Insecta; Hemiptera; Alydidae
Description: tRNA-His
Source: RNAcentral
AUUCAGAUAGUUUAAUUAGAAUAGCAAUUUGUGGAUUUGUAGGUGUUGUAAAACUCUGAAUU